UUGCAACACAACAGAAUUAUGAAUAAUGUCUACCCCAUUAAUAGUAGCACGACAUAAUGUAACUCUGCCUCUUUCUUUACGCUUGACUAUGAUGUAAUAUAACAAACGAACGAGUUCCACCUGGUCAUUAUUACCAUAGGGUGUUCAAUGAUGGAUUGUGGGAUAUUACUUAUGAAGGUUCCACGAAGACAGAAAGACGUUUUCUUAUGUAAUCAGGCCAAGCAUAAGAGACAAGGAAUGAUCUUAUUCAUGCACAGGCAGACUCGUGAGUUAAUCCUGGAGUAAAGUACAAAAUAUCGGCAUGGGUGAGUAGGAAGAGGUAACGCAUCAUGACUUUGCUUUUAUGUCGUGUUCAUUUCUCUGAAUGUUUAAAAUAUUUAAGCUAAAAGAUCGAAGAAUAGAAAACGAGGAGUACAAUAUGGAGAAAUGUCAUGAUCUGGUUGAUGAAGAUAGGAAGAGGUGACAGCAGAUACAGCAAAAGAAGUACUUACAUUUUGAAUCUCAGCAUGGUGUGACAUCUACUUUAUCUGCAGAUUUCUACUCAUCUUCAAAGACUUCUAAGUGUAUCUGUGCAGGAUUGCACGGAGUAAUACAAACCCGACCUAAGAAUUCCGCCAUUUUCUCGCCAGGCUCUCAUUUGCUGUAAGAAAGCAGAGUUAAUAACAGAUAGAUCACGGCAGACGAUUCUAAUGAUGUCUUAAUAGACAAUACUCACGAACCUUUCAUAUGGACUCCCACAAAAACAAAUAAUCUAUACAAAAAUAAAGGAAGGAAUUCUUCUCUUUCUUCAAUUAUUAUGAAGGCCGUGACGUCACAAUCUCGGUUUUGUCUGGUAUAUUUAAUCCUCAACGAAAACUUAAAUAGAAAGAUCAAAAUUUUUCUCCCUCUCUGGUGAGUCAGACAGGUAUUUAGCGCUAAUAAAAAGAAGCCUUUAUUUUUUAAAAUUACCUGUUGGAUUUUAUUUGGGAAGAAUAGGUGGGUUUUUUUUAUUAUAUAUGUUUGUUCAGCAGCAUGUGUGUCAAUUAUGGAUACAAACAAAUAUAAGAGUAUUGUUCGUGCAGUAGUAUUUGUGUUAACAAUAAAUUACAUUUGCUUUUCGUUUUAA
Molecule: long non-coding RNA, 1105 nt
Organism: Saccostrea echinata
Lineage: Eukaryota; Metazoa; Mollusca; Bivalvia; Ostreida; Ostreidae
Exons: 3
Source: RefSeq, a predicted model, not a curated record